Molecule: ribosomal RNA, 378 nt
Filed under: uncultured bacterium
Lineage: Bacteria
Description: bacterial SSU rRNA
Rfam family: Bacterial small subunit ribosomal RNA
Source: RNAcentral
UAUUGCACAAUGGGCGCAAGCCUGAUGCAGCCAUGCCGCGUGUAUGAAGAAGGCCUUCGGGUUGUAAAGUACUUUCAGCGUGGAGGAAGGGAGUAAAGUUAAUACCUUUGCUCAUUGACGUUACCCGCAGAAGAAGCACCGGCUAACUCCGUGCCAGCAGCCGCGGUAAUACUGAGGGUGCAAGCGUUAAUCGGAAUUACUGGGCGUAAAGCGCACGCAGGCGGUUUGUUAAGUCAGAUGUGAAAUCCCCGGGCUCAACCUGGAACUGCAUCUAUACUGGCAAGCUUAGUCUCGAGGGGGGGGAGAUUCCAGGUGAGCGGUAAAUGCGAAGUCUGAGAAUCCGGUGGCGAUGCGGCCCCCUGGCAACGCUGCGUAAGG